CCGCCUGAGAUGUGAUGCCGAGCCGAUUGUGGUGAAGUGGAUGAUCCUAUGCUGCCGAGAAAAGCCUCUAGUGAGUGUUGUGGCGGCCCGUACCCUAAACCGACUCAGGUGGUCAGGUAGAGAAUACCAAGGCGAUCGGGUGAACUGUGGUUAAGGAACUCGGCAAAUUGCCCCCGUAACUUCGGGAGAAGGGGGACCUCUGCUGGUGAUGGGCUUUACGUUCUGAGCUGGUGGGGGUCGCAGUGGCCAGGGGGAAGCGACUGUUUACUAAAAACACAGGUCCGUGCGAAGUCGUAAGACGAUGUAUACGGACUGACGCCUGCCCGGUGCCGGAACGUUAAGGGGACCGCUUAGCCAGCUUCGGUUGGCGAAGGUGAGAACUUAAGCGCCGGUAAACGGCGGUGGUAACUAUAACCAUCCUAAGGUAGCGAAAUUCCUUGUCGGGUAAGUUCCGACCUGCACGAAUGGCGUAACGACUUCCCCGCUGUCUCAACCACAGACCCGGCGAAAUUGCACUACGAGUAAAGAUGCUCGUUUCGCGCAGCAGGACGGAAAGACCCCGGGACCUUCACUACAGCUUGACAUUGGCGUUUGGAACGUCUUGUGUAGGAUAGGUGGGAGACUGGGAAGCUGUCACGCUAGUGAUGGUGGAGUCAUUGGUGAAAUACCACUCUGGUCGUUUUGAACGUCUAACUCUGGUCCGUGAUCCGGAUCGGGGACAGUGUCUGGUGGGUAGUUUAACUGGGGCGGUUGCCUCCUAAAGAGUAACGGAGGCGCCCAAAGGUUCCCUCAGCCUGGUUGGCAAUCAGGUGUUGAGUGUAAGUGCACAAGGGAGCUUGACUGUGAGACUGACAGGUCGAGCAGGAGCGAAAGCUGGGACUAGUGAUCCGGCAUCGGCGUGUGGAAGCGGUGUCGCUCAACGGCUAAAAGGUACCCCGGGGAUAACAGGCUGAUCUUCCCCAAGAGUCCAUAUCGACGGGAUGGUUUGGCACCUCGAUGUCGGCUCGUCGCAUCCUGGGGCUGGAGUAGGUCCCAAGGGUUGGGCUGUUCGCCCAUUAAAGCGGUACGCGAGCUGGGUUUAGAACGUCGCGAGACAGUUCGGUCCCUAUCCGCUGCGCGCGCAGGAGACUUGAAGGGGGCUGUCCCUAGUACGAGAGGACCGGGACGGACGAACCUCUGGUGUGCCAGUUGUACCGCCAGGUGCACGGCUGGUUGGCUACGUUCGGAAGGGAUAACCGCUGAAAGCAUCUAAGCGGGAAGCUCGCCUUGAGAUGAGGUCUCCCACCCUGUGAGGGGGUAAGGCUCCCGGUAGAUCACCGGGUUGAUAGGCCGGAGGUGGAAGCACGGUAACGUGUGGAGCUGACCGGUACUAAUAGGCCGAGGACUUGACC
RNAcentral lists this ribosomal RNA (1391 nucleotides) under metagenome. RNAcentral's name for it is "bacterial LSU rRNA". It matches the Rfam family "Bacterial large subunit ribosomal RNA", at positions 1552 to 2925 of the family's 2925-position model. The record is from RNAcentral.